This 252-nucleotide long non-coding RNA is filed under the name Pan troglodytes (chimpanzee). RNAcentral's name for it is "long non-coding RNA NONPTRT015274". Lineage: Eukaryota; Metazoa; Chordata; Mammalia; Primates; Hominidae. The record is from RNAcentral.
UUGUGAAGCUCUGAAGUAGGGAGACUCUUAGUUACUCAGUAUAAAAUACUCUCACUAUGGGCAUGAUUGUUUUUCAUUUCUAGAUCAAGCAAGACCAGGUAUUUUCGUCUUAUUCCAGAUCUUAGGGGGAAAAAUCAUUCAGUCUUUCACAGUUAAGCAUAAUGAUUGCUAUAGAAUCUUUGUACAUGCUCUUUAUCAGGUUGGGGAAGUUUUCACUGAAUUCUUUUAAGAGAAAUUCAGAUUUGGAUUUCU